Molecule: small nucleolar RNA, 106 nt
Organism: Malania oleifera
Lineage: Eukaryota; Viridiplantae; Streptophyta; Magnoliopsida; Santalales; Ximeniaceae
Source: RefSeq, a predicted model, not a curated record
ACUUGGUGAUGUGAGCAUUUAUAGAGAAAAUCCCUAAAGUGCUCCCAAGUCUCAAAAAAGAGUUCCCCGUCCAUUUGUGAGAAACUUUUGACAUAUCUAUGAAACU